UAGACCGAUAGCGAACAAGUAGAGUGAUCGAAAGAUGAAAAGCACUUUGAAAAGAGAGUUAAACAGUAUGUGAAAUUGUUGAAAGGGAAGCGCUGGCAACCAGACUCGUGCGCGGGGUUCCCCCUUGCUUCUGCUUGGGUUACUUCCCCGUGUCCGGGCCAUCAUCAGUUUUAGGGGCCGGUUAAAGGCCCUGGGAAUGUACCUACUCCUUCGGGGGUAGACUUAUAGCCCAGGGUGUCAUGCGGCCACCCGGGACUGAGGAACGCGCUUCGGCGAGGAUGAUGGCGUAAUGGUUGUCAGCGACCCGUCUUGAAACACGGACCAAGA
RNAcentral lists this ribosomal RNA (327 nucleotides) under fungal sp. CL036. RNAcentral describes it as "LSU rRNA". It matches the Rfam family "Eukaryotic large subunit ribosomal RNA", at positions 330 to 671 of the family's 3401-position model. Lineage: Eukaryota; Fungi. The record is from RNAcentral.